RNAcentral lists this long non-coding RNA (248 nucleotides) under Rattus norvegicus (Norway rat). Its description in RNAcentral is "long non-coding RNA NONRATT033577". Lineage: Eukaryota; Metazoa; Chordata; Mammalia; Rodentia; Muridae. The record is from RNAcentral.
GGUGAAUUGCCCAGCCCUUACUUUGAGAAGCACCUAGCACCAUUGGAGCCGUGUCUCUUCGCAGAAAGAGUUAGACGUAUUGGAUGGCUACCCCACACUCUGGGUGUGCUAAUGAUCUACGGCUAGCACUUAAGGCCAUGGAGUUUACAGGCAGCAACUGACAGCUUUGCAGAACUUCCUGAGGUUAGAACUAUCCCACUGGUCCAUUGUUUCUUACUGAGUAUGUUAUGAGUAAAUCUAUAGUCACC